Molecule: ribosomal RNA, 465 nt
Filed under: uncultured bacterium
Lineage: Bacteria
Description: partial 16S ribosomal RNA
Rfam family: Bacterial small subunit ribosomal RNA
Source: RNAcentral
CCUACGGGGGGCAGCAGUGGGGAAUAUUGCGCAAUGGGCGAAAGCCUGACGCAGCGACGCCGCGUGAGGGAUGACGGUCUUCGGAUCGUAAACCUCUGUUAGCAGGGAAGAACGGUCACUGUGCUAAUCAGCAGUGAAUUGACGGUACCUGCAAAGGUAGCACCGGCUAACUCCGUGACCGCAGCCGCGGUAAUACGGAGGGUGCGUGCGUUAAUCGGAAUUACUGGGCGUAAAGCGCUCGUUGGCGGUAUGUCAAGUCAAGGGUGAAAUCCCCGGGCUCAACGUUGGAACUGCCUUUGAAACUGGCAGACUGGAGUGUGUGAGAGGAGAGUGGAAUUCCAGGUGUAGGAGUGAAAUCCGUAGAUAUCUGGAGGAACAUCGGUGGCGAAGGCGACUAUCUGGCACAUAACUGACGCUGAUGAGCGAAAGCGUGGGUAGCAAACAGGAUUAGAUACCCCAGUAGUC